Molecule: long non-coding RNA, 267 nt
Filed under: Mytilus galloprovincialis (Mediterranean mussel)
Lineage: Eukaryota; Metazoa; Mollusca; Bivalvia; Mytilida; Mytilidae
Source: RNAcentral
CUGUUUAUUUAACGCAUGAAUGUAAAAAUAUCGGAAAUUGAUGAGACUGUCAUUACAAAAGUGAGAGGGUUAGCGCUAUAGAACCAGGUUCAAUCCACCAUUUUCUACAUUUGAAAAUGCCUGUACCAAGUCAGGAAUAUGACAGUUCUUGUCCAUUCGUUUUUGAUGCGUUUUGUUAUUUGAUUUUGCCAUGUGAUUAUGGACUUUCCCAAUUGAUCUUCCUCUAAGUUCAGUAUUUUUGUGAUUUUACUUUUUCCUUUGUCGAUG